CCCUGAUGCUGUUCUCAGGAUAGUGAGUGAGUUCUCACAAGAUCUGAUGGUUUUAUAAGGAGCUUUUCCCCUUUGCUCGGCACUUCUCCUUCCUGCCGCCAUGUGAAAAAGACGUGUUUGCUACCCCUUCUGCCAGGAUCUCUCUUGCAGCCCUGUGCCUCCAUGUAAGAGCUCCAUCUAUCACGAUGCUAUCAUCUGGUGAGGAAGCUAAAGGCAUGCAGAAGGUUCUGGAGGAGAUGCCAUCUGAAGAAAGAGCCAAGAAGCACUAAAAUGCCAAACAGUGAAGAUGUCAUCUUGGAAGGGACCCUCCAGCCCCAAUAUUGCUCCUGGCUGACACCAAGUGGCCCAGCUGAGCCCUUCUCAAAUUCCUGGCCCACAACAUGAUGAACAAAAUAAAAUGGUUGUUUUAA
RNAcentral lists this long non-coding RNA (410 nucleotides) under Homo sapiens (human). Its description in RNAcentral is "HSALNT0004017". Lineage: Eukaryota; Metazoa; Chordata; Mammalia; Primates; Hominidae. The record is from RNAcentral.